This 434-nucleotide ribosomal RNA is filed under the name uncultured bacterium. RNAcentral describes it as "partial 16S ribosomal RNA". It matches the Rfam family "Bacterial small subunit ribosomal RNA", at positions 29 to 507 of the family's 1533-position model. The record is from RNAcentral.
AGCGAACGCUGGCGGCAGGCCUAACACAUGCAAGUCGAACGAACCUUUCGGGGUUAGUGGCGGACGGGUGAGUAACACGUGGGAACGUGCCUUUAGGUUCGGAAUAACUCAGGGAAACUUGUGCUAAUACCGAAUGUGCCCUUCGGGGGAAAGAUUAAUCGCCUUUAGAGCGGCCCGCGUCUGUUUAGCUAGUUGGUUGAGGUAAUGGCUCACCAAGGCGACGAUCAGUAGCUGGUCUGAGAGGAUGAUCAGCCACAUUGGGACUGAGACACGGCCCAAACUCCUACGGGAGGCAGCAGUGGGGAAUCUUGCGCAAUGGGCGAAAGCCUGACGCAGCCAUGCCGCGUGAAUGAUGAAGGUCUUAGGAUUGUAAAAUUCUUUCACCGGGGACGAUAAUGACGGUACCCGGAGAAGAAGCCCCGGCUAACUUCGUG